RNAcentral lists this ribosomal RNA (510 nucleotides) under uncultured bacterium. RNAcentral describes it as "partial 16S ribosomal RNA". The stretch from base 20 to 333 matches the Rfam family "Bacterial small subunit ribosomal RNA", at positions 47 to 358 of the family's 1533-position model. The record is from RNAcentral.
GACGAACGCUGGCGGCGUGCUUAACACAUGCAAGUCGAACGGAAAGGCCCUGCUUUUGUGGGGUGCUCGAGUGGCGAACGGGUGAGUAACACGUGAGUAACCUGCCCUUGACUUUGGGAUAACUUCAGGAAACUGGGGCUAAUACCGGAUAGGAGCUCCUGCUGCAUGGUGGGGGUUGGAAAGUUUCGGCGGUUGGGGAUGGACUCGCGGCUUAUCAGCUUGUUGGUGGGGUAGUGGCUUACCAAGGCUUUGACGGGUAGCCGGCCUGAGAGGGUGACCGGGCAGGGUGGCGAGGAGGAGAGCGGCAGAGAGGCGGGGGGGGGGAGGAGUGGGAAAGACAGAAAGGUGGGGGGAAGCAGGAGGCAGGCCGGCCGGGGGGGGGAGGACGGCGUGCGGGUGGUAAGCAGCGUGCGCGGGUGAGGAAGGGGGAGGGAAGGUAAGGAGAAAAGAAGCACCGGUUAACGAGGGGCAAGAAGCAGCGGUAAUAAGCGGAAGAGCAAACGGAUGAAC